RNAcentral lists this ribosomal RNA (253 nucleotides) under uncultured bacterium. RNAcentral describes it as "partial 16S ribosomal RNA". It matches the Rfam family "Bacterial small subunit ribosomal RNA", at positions 524 to 776 of the family's 1533-position model. The record is from RNAcentral.
UACGGAGGAUCCGAGCGUUAUCCGGAUUUAUUGGGUUUAAAGGGUGCGUAGGCGGCCUAUUAAGUCAGGGGUGAAAGACGGUAGCUUAACUAUCGCAGUGCCUUUGAUACUGAUGGGCUUGAAUAUACUAGAGGUAGGCGGAAUGUGACAAGUAGCGGUGAAAUGCAUAGAUAUGUCACAGAACACCAAUUGCGAAGGCAGCUUACUAUGGUAUGAUUGACGCUGAGGCACGAAAGCGUGGGGAUCAAACAGG